GAUGAACGCUGGCGGCGUGCCUAAUACAUGCAAGUCGAGCGAACGGACGAGAAGCUUGCUUCUCUGAUGUUAGCGGCGGACGGGUGAGUAACACGUGGAUAACCUACCUAUAAGACUGGGAUAACUUCGGGAAACCGGAGCUAAUACCGGAUAAUAUUUUGAACCGCAUGGUUCAAAAGUGAAAGACGGUCUUGCUGUCACUUAUAGAUGGAUCCGCGCUGCAUUAGCUAGUUGGUAAGGUAACGGCUUACCAAGGCAACGAUGCAUAGCCGACCUGAGAGGGUGAUCGGCCACACGGGAAGUGAGACACGGUCCAGACUCCUAAGGGAGGCAGCAGUAGGGAAUCUUCCGCAAUGGGCGAAAGCCUGACGGAGCAACGCCGCGUGAGUGAUGAAGGUCUUCGGAUCGUAAAACUCUGUUAUUAGGGAAGAACAUAUGUGUAAGUAACUGUGCACAUCUUGACGGUACCUAAUCAGAAAGCCACGGCUAACUACGUG
RNAcentral lists this ribosomal RNA (497 nucleotides) under uncultured bacterium. Its description in RNAcentral is "partial 16S ribosomal RNA". It matches the Rfam family "Bacterial small subunit ribosomal RNA", at positions 28 to 507 of the family's 1533-position model. The record is from RNAcentral.